RNAcentral lists this ribosomal RNA (253 nucleotides) under uncultured bacterium. RNAcentral's name for it is "partial 16S ribosomal RNA". It matches the Rfam family "Bacterial small subunit ribosomal RNA", at positions 524 to 776 of the family's 1533-position model. The record is from RNAcentral.
UACGUAGGGUGCAAGCGUUACUCGGAAUUACUGGGCGUAAAGCGUGCGCAGGCGGUUCCGCAAGUCAGAUGUGAAAUCCCCGGGCUCAACCUGGGAACUGCAUUUGAAACUACGGGGCUAGAGUGUGUCAGAGGGGGGUGGAAUUCCACGUGUAGCAGUGAAAUGCGUAGAGAUGUGGAGGAACACCAAUGGCGAAGGCAGCCCCCUGGGAUGACACUGACGCUCAUGCACGAAAGCGUGGGGAGCAAACAGG